GAUGAAGAACGCAGUGAAAUGCGAUAAUUAAUGUGAAUUGCAGAAUUCAGUGAAUCAUCGAGUCUUUGAACGCACAUUGCGCCCCCUGGUAUUCCGGGGUGCAUGCCUGUCCGAGCGUCAUUGCUGCCCUCAAGCACGGCUUGUGUGUUGGGCUUCCGUCCCUGGCAACGGGGACGGGCCCAAAAGGCAGUGGCGGCACCAUGUCUGGUCCUCGAGCGUAUGGGGCUUUGUCACCCGCUCCCGUAGGUCCAGCUGGCAGCUAGCCUCGCAACCAAUCUUUUUAACCAGGUUGACCUCGGAUCAGGUAGGGAUACCCGCUGAACUUAAGCAUAUCAAUAAGCGGAGGA
RNAcentral lists this unclassified non-coding RNA (347 nucleotides) under soil metagenome. RNAcentral's name for it is "partial contains 5.8S ribosomal RNA, internal transcribed spacer 2, and large subunit ribosomal RNA". The stretch from base 1 to 120 matches the Rfam family "5.8S ribosomal RNA", at positions 35 to 154 of the family's 154-position model. The record is from RNAcentral.